This 688-nucleotide ribosomal RNA is filed under the name uncultured archaeon. RNAcentral describes it as "bacterial SSU rRNA". It matches the Rfam family "Archaeal small subunit ribosomal RNA", at positions 171 to 859 of the family's 1478-position model. The record is from RNAcentral.
UGGAAUGGUUUUUUGUUUAAAUGUUUUUUCGCCUAAGGAUGGGUCUGCGGCCGAUUAGGUAGUUGGUUAGGUAACGGCUUACCAAGCCGUUGAUCGGUACGGGUUGUGAGAGCAAGAGCCCGGAGAUGGAACCUGAGACAAGGUUCCAGGCCCUACGGGGUGCAGCAGGCGCGAAACCUCCGCAAUGUGAGAAAUCGCGACGGGGGGAUCCCAAGUGCCAUUCUUAACGGGAUGGCUUUUCAUUAGUGUAAAGAGCUUUUGGAAUAAGGGCUGGGCAAGACCGGUGCCAGCCGCCGCGGUAACACCGGCAGCUCUAGUGGUAGCAGUUUUUAUUGGGCCUAAAGCGUCCGUAGCCGGUUUAAUAAGUCUCUGGUGAAAUCCUGUAGCUUAACUGUGGGAAUUGCUGGAGAUACUAUUAGACUUGAGACCGGGAGAGGUUAGAGGUACUCCCAGGGUAGAGGUGAAAUUCCGUAAUCCUGGGAGGACCGCCUGUUGCGAAGGCGUCUAACUGGAACGGUUCUGACGGUGAGGGACGAAAGUUAGGGGCGCGAACCGGAUUAGAUACCCGGGUAGUCCUAACUGUAAACGAUGCGGACUUGGUGUUGGGGUGGCUUUGAGCUGCUCCAGUGCCGAAGGGAAGCUGUUAAGUCCGCCGCCUGGGAAGUACGGUCGCAAGACUGAAACUUAA